Molecule: ribosomal RNA, 256 nt
Filed under: uncultured bacterium
Lineage: Bacteria
Description: partial 16S ribosomal RNA
Rfam family: Bacterial small subunit ribosomal RNA
Source: RNAcentral
UACGUAGGGUGCGAGCGUUAAUCGGAAUUACUGGGCGUAAAGCGUGCGCAGGCGGUUUUGUAAGCCAGAUGUGAAAUCCCCCGGGCUUAACCUGGGAACUGCGCUUGUAACUGGCAGGCUUGAGUGCGGCAGAGGGGGGGUGGAAUUCCACGUGUAGCAGUGAAAUGCGUAGAGAUGUGGAGGAACACCGAUGGCGAAGGCAGCCCCCUGGGUCGACACUGACGCCUGAGGAGCGAAAGCGUGGGGAGCGAACAGG